This 571-nucleotide ribosomal RNA is filed under the name uncultured bacterium. Its description in RNAcentral is "partial 16S ribosomal RNA". It matches the Rfam family "Bacterial small subunit ribosomal RNA", at positions 356 to 920 of the family's 1533-position model. The record is from RNAcentral.
UGGGGAAUUUGGACAAUGGGCGAAGCCUGAUCCAGCAAUGCCGCGUGUGUGAAGAAGGCCUUCGGGUUGUAAAGCACUUUUGUCCGGAAAGAAAUCCUUGGCUCUAAUACAGUCGGGGGAUGACGGUACCGGAAGAAUAAGCACCGGCUAACUACGUGCCAGCAGCCGCGGUAAUACGUAGGGUGCAAGCGUUAAUCGGAAUUACUGGGCGUAAAGCGUGCGCAGGCGGUUUGCUAAGACCGAUGUGAAAUCCCCGGGCUCAACCUGGGAACUGCAUUGGUGACUGGCAGGCUAGAGUAUGGCAGGAGGGGGGUAGAAUUCCACGUGUAGCAGUGAAAUGCGUAGAGAUGUGGAGGAAUACCGAUGGCGAAGGCAGCCCCCUGGGCCAAUACUGACGCUCAUGCACGAAAGCGUGGGGAGCAAACAGGAUUAGAUACCCUGGUAGUCCACGCCCUAAACGAUGUCAACUAGUUGUUGGGGAUUCAUUUCCUUAGUGACGUAGCUAACGCGUGAAGUUGACCGCCUGGGGAGUACGGUCGCAAGAUUAAAACUCAAAUGAAUUGACGGGGUC